UCUGACCUCAAAUCAGGUAGGAUUACCCGCUGAACUUAAGCAUAUCAAUAAGCGGAGGAAAAGAAACUAACAAGGAUUCCCUUAGUAACUGC
RNAcentral lists this ribosomal RNA (92 nucleotides) under Amanita sp. 'penetratrix'. RNAcentral describes it as "partial 28S ribosomal RNA". It matches the Rfam family "Eukaryotic large subunit ribosomal RNA", at positions 1 to 90 of the family's 3401-position model. Lineage: Eukaryota; Fungi; Basidiomycota; Agaricomycetes; Agaricales; Amanitaceae. The record is from RNAcentral.